This 258-nucleotide ribosomal RNA is filed under the name uncultured bacterium. Its description in RNAcentral is "partial 16S ribosomal RNA". It matches the Rfam family "Bacterial small subunit ribosomal RNA", at positions 793 to 1050 of the family's 1533-position model. The record is from RNAcentral.
GUCCACGCCGUAAACGAUGUCAACUAGCCGUUUGUGUCUUUAAGACGUGAGUGGCGUAGCUAACGCGCUAAGUUGACCGCCUGGGGAGUACGGCCGCAAGGUUAAAACUCAAAUGAAUUGACGGGGGCCCGCACAAGCGGUGGAGCAUGUGGUUUAAUUCGAUGCAACGCGAAGAACCUUACCAUCCCUUGACAUCCAGAGAAUUUUCUAGAGAUAGAUUAGUGCCUUCGGGAACUCUGAGACAGGUGCUGCAUGGCU